This 499-nucleotide ribosomal RNA is filed under the name uncultured bacterium. Its description in RNAcentral is "partial 16S ribosomal RNA". It matches the Rfam family "Bacterial small subunit ribosomal RNA", at positions 30 to 523 of the family's 1533-position model. The record is from RNAcentral.
AUUGAACGCUGGCGGAAUGCUUUACACAUGCAAGUCGAACGGCAGCACGGACUUCGGUCUGGUGGCGAGUGGCGAACGGGUGAGUAAUGUAUCGGAACGUGCCCAGUCGUGGGGGAUAACGUAGUGAAAAUUACGCUAAUACCGCAUACGAUCUAUGGAUGAAAGCGGGGGAUCGCAAGACCUCGCGCGAUUGGAGCGGCCGAUAUCAGAUUAGGUAGUUGGUGGGGUAAAGGCCCACCAAGCCAACGAUCUGUAGCUGGUCUGAGAGGACGACAGCCACACUGGAACCGAGACACGGUCCAGACUCCUAUGGGAGGCAGCAGUGGGGAAUUUUGGACAAUGGGCGAAAGCCUGAUCCAGCCAUUCCGCGUGCAGGAUGAAGGCCCUCGGGUUGUAAACUGCUUUUGUACAGAACGAAAAGGUUUCUACUAAUACUGGGAGCUCAUGACGGUACUGUAAGAAUAAGCACCGGCUAACUACGUGCCAGCCGCCGCGGUAA